AUUGGUGGUUCGUCAUAAUCAUUUGGUGGCGGUGGUGAUGACUUAAUAGGUGGUUGAUUAGUUGGUGGUGAUGGUAGUCUCCUUGGUAGUUGAGUAGCUGGUGGUGAUAAUGGUGGUAAUAGGUUUGGUGGAGUAUCUGGUGGUGAUAAUGGUGGUCUUCUUGGCAGUUGAGUAGCUGGUGGUGAUGAUGGUGGUAGUAGGUUUGGUGGAGUAGCUGGUGGUGAUAAUGGUGGUCUCCUUGGUAGUUGAGUAGCUGGUGGUGAUGAUGGUGGUAGUAGGUUUGGUGGUUGAGAAGGUGGUGGUGCACGUUGGUCUGCUGGCGGUUGAGUAAGAGGUGACGGUGGAGGUGUUUGUCUUGGUGAUUGAGCUGGUGGUGAAUUGGUUAGUGGCGGUGGAGGCGAUUGAGAUAGGGGCGGUGGUGACUUAGUUGGCGGCGGCGAAAGUGGUGGUGUAGGUGAUUGAGCUGGCGGCGGCGGCGAAGGUGGUGGUGCAGGUGAUUGAGCUGGUGAUGGUGAAGGUGAUUGGGCUGGUGGUGGUGAAGGUGAUUGAGCUGGUGGUGGUGAUGACUUGGGUGACGGAGAAGGUGAUGGUGAAGGUGAUUGGGCUGGUGGUGGUGGUGACGACUUGGGUGGUGGUGAAGGUGAUUGAGCUGAUGGUGGUGAUGACUUGGGUGACGGAGAAGGCGGUGGUGAAGGUGAUUGAGCUGGUGGUGGUGGUGACUUAGGUGGCGGAGAAGGUGGUGGUGGUCGCUUAGCUGGUGGCGAUGGUGAUGGCUUUGGCUUAUUUACAGGUGGCUUUGGGUUUGGCUUAGGGAUCCCA
Molecule: long non-coding RNA, 819 nt
Filed under: Capsicum annuum
Lineage: Eukaryota; Viridiplantae; Streptophyta; Magnoliopsida; Solanales; Solanaceae
Description: long non-coding RNA (CANN_LNC003461)
Source: RNAcentral